This is a long non-coding RNA of Anopheles stephensi (Asian malaria mosquito), 2368 nucleotides long. RefSeq lists it as uncharacterized. Lineage: Eukaryota; Metazoa; Arthropoda; Insecta; Diptera; Culicidae. The record is from RefSeq and is a predicted model, not a curated record. The transcript is spliced from 3 exons.
UGUGUCUUUCUUUCACCUUUAAAAAGUUCGCUCGCCGGGAUCAAUUUAUCAUCUUAUAUUUAUGCACCGGAGCGCACAGAAACAAACUCAAACCACACACACACACACACUCACCCGGACCUACCUUCCUUCGACAAGUGUCCGCUACAUGAACUUUGCAUCACCAACUACCUAUGCUAGCUUGCCGACUCUCGCACUACCUUGCUCGCCAAAGCAGCUUCAAACCACGAACCCAGGAUCGAUCGGUGAAAAUCGGAAAAGUUUAACCGCAUGAAAUUGGAUGGCGAACCAGCAGUAGCAGCCCGGUAGGUUGCGCUGAGGUACCGUCCCGGACCAGUCCCAGAAGGCGAGCUAUUUCGGGAAGUCCUGGUUUCGCCCGGGAAUCAGGCAGGCAAACCGGGCCACUGUUCAAUGCAACGGCCUGCACCGCUACAACCCAACUGCUUGUUAUUAUGUAUGUAAUUGGUCAGCAACAUAUUAUGGUUGGGCGUAAAACUAGCUCUCCGGUUGGUAGUGGCCCGAAACCGAUCAAGACCGAUGACCGAAUGCGUCCGGGGUUAAGUUCGGAGGGAUCAGACCGGUAACACACACACACACACUCGAACGGGCCUUGCCGACAAGUCGAAUGUCCUCAAUGUUCGCGUCCAGCAUUCAAGACGAUGCGAGGUGAGUGAUUAGUGGAUGGUCGGACAUCAGCAGGCAAGCAACACCGACGCUGAUGGAUGGGUUUUUGGGGAGCUCAAGGUGUGAGUGUGGGAUGUAAAUUUAUCUAGAAAGGUUUUGUGGAUCCGUCCAUUUUCCAUUUUUAAGUAGCAGCAGCAGCAGCAGCACCGUCGAGACCGGUCUUCAUGUCGUUAGUCGGAAACAACAGUAGGCUGCCUGUUAGUUUGCUGAUGAAGGUGAUGAUGGGAUGCAAAAUCGGAACUAUUUUGUGACUGAGUGGGUGUGUGCGAGUGUGAGUGUAAGGAGCUGUACAGUGGCAGAGGAAAUAACGGCACCGACCUUCACACGACGGGUCCGCGGUUCAAACCCCAUCCAGACCGCCUAACCGCACUAACUAUCCAGCACUCACAACCGUUGUUCUUACAACUACAACCACCAUCCGAUCAACGUCGAACACAUCCUCUCGACCGCCCACCCGAAAACGCACAACCGAAAUGAGGUGAGCCGGAAUUGCUUUUAGCUGUUUGUGUUGUUGAACAAAAUACUGCUUUCAGAACGGAUUUUGCUUCCCCUUUUCUUUUUUUCUUCACCCAUCCCCAACGUUCGCUUGUGUCUUGUGUGUAAGUAGCAUAAAUGUGCGUAACACAUGUUACGUAUCCCGCACACAGCUUCAUCCAUUUGCAGCCAGCGCCACCCUGUUCCUUCCAGGGCCGGCUGGAGCGUCAAGAAACCGAUGUUCGGUGGGAUAAAGGAUUAACGUCGUUCCUUCCGGGCGUGGAGAUGGUUCUUCGGCUCUUUUCAUUCUCCAACUCAAACCCCGCUCUGGCUCGAACUAGCAGCCGAGACCGUGCGUGCGAAGACAAUAUAGAAAUUGUAAUAAAAUUGUAAUUUUAAAAGUGUUUUGCUCCGUCCCCAUCGGCAUACAUCGCUACAUUUGUUUUUUCGAGCAGUGUAUGCGCCCCGUUAUUCUUUUAUUUACCGGAAGAUGAGGUUCAUUUUCUUCUUCUUCUUCCCGCCUCUCAAGGAGUUUUGCGAAAUCGAAAAUCCAUUGCACAGCAUCCUUGGAAAUCCGUGAUGGAAUUUUGCUGCUGCUGCUGCCGAAGUAGAAGUGUCAUCAGCAACUUUGGUUCAUCUAACUACGCUGAGCGAGUGUUUAUUUUUUGUCUCACUCUCUAAAUGCUGCAUGCUGCCUUCAUUGAAGGUUUUUUUUAUUCAGAUUUUUUUAAACCAUCGUUUCCCAACUGUUCGCUCGUGAAAAUCGGUUGCAUUCACACGCUUGCAGUUCGCGUACGAGCAAAUCAUUCCACGCUCGGGAGCUUCUAGAAUGGGAGGUUGCGCUUAAGCGAUUUUCUCGACCCUGCGUUUUGCAUACAGUUGAAAAGCGGUCCAGAAAGAAGGAAAAAAAUUCUCCAUUUUGAAGCAAGCUUAAGCUGAAAAAAAACCCAGCCCACACACACACAGAGCUACCAUCUUCAACUAGCAAAACGAGCGACAAGUUCAGUUGGUAACAUCAUUAAAAGUCACUUUUAGCACAAACAUUAUCCUUUCUGCUAUUUUUAUUUGCACUUCACCAACAAAAAAAAAACCCAUCUCAGAUUUUACAUUUCAUCAAAACGCGUUUUUCGUGUGGGGUGAAAAAAAGAGCCUUGGAAACGGAAAAUCCCAUCAGCUUUGGGGCAACAGUAAACCGGGAAUGCUUUCACGC